RNAcentral lists this unclassified non-coding RNA (87 nucleotides) under Pseudomonas frederiksbergensis. Lineage: Bacteria; Pseudomonadati; Pseudomonadota; Gammaproteobacteria; Pseudomonadales; Pseudomonadaceae. The record is from RNAcentral.
GUGGGAGCCAGCCUGCUGGCGAUGGCGUCGUGUCAGUCAAUGUCUACUUUUAUGACACACCGUCAUCGCCAGCAGGCUGGCUCCCAC